GGCUCAGGACGAACGCUGGCGGCAUGCCUAAUACAUGCAAGUCGAACGCUGAAGCACUCUGCUUGCAGAGUGCGGAUGAGUGGCGAACGGGUGAGUAACACGUGGGAAAUCUGCCUAAGAGUGGGGGGAUAACAUUCGGAAACGGAUGCUAAUACCGCAUAUAUUCUCGAACCGCAUGGUUCUGGAAAGAAAGACGGCUUUGCUGUCGCUUUUAGAUGAUCCCGCGGCGUAUUAGUUAGUUGGUGGGGUAAUGGCCUACCAAGACCAUGAUACGUAGCCGACCUGAGAGGGUGAUCGGCCACACUGGGACUGAGACACGGCCCAGACUCCUACGGGAGGCAGCAGUAGGGAAUCUUCCACAAUGGGUGCAAACCUGAUGGAGCAAUGCCGCCGUGAAUGAAGAAGGUCUUCGGAUCGUAAAGUUCUGUUAUUAGAGAAGAACAAGUCGAGGAGUAACUGUUUCGACUUUGACGGUACCUAACCAGAAAGUCACGGCUAACUACGUGCCAGCAGCCGC
RNAcentral lists this ribosomal RNA (517 nucleotides) under uncultured bacterium. Its description in RNAcentral is "bacterial SSU rRNA". It matches the Rfam family "Bacterial small subunit ribosomal RNA", at positions 21 to 518 of the family's 1533-position model. The record is from RNAcentral.